RNAcentral lists this ribosomal RNA (378 nucleotides) under uncultured archaeon. RNAcentral's name for it is "bacterial SSU rRNA". It matches the Rfam family "Archaeal small subunit ribosomal RNA", at positions 691 to 1068 of the family's 1478-position model. The record is from RNAcentral.
CCGACGGUGAGGGGUGAAAGCUGGGGGAGCAAACCGGAUUAGAUACCCGGGUAGUCCCAGCCGUAAACGAUGUGCGUUAGGUGUAUCGGUGACCACGUGUCACCGAGGUGCCGAAGAGAAAUCGUGAAACGUACCGCCUGGGAAGUACGGUCGCAAGGCUGAAACUUAAAGGAAUUGGCGGGGGAGCACCACAACAGGUGGAGCCUGCGGUUUAAUCGGACUCAACGCCGGGAAACUCACCAGAUAAGACAGCUGAAUGAUAGUCGGGCUGAAGACUCUACUUGACUAGCUGAGAGGAGGUGCAUGGCCGUCGUCAGUUCGUACUGUGAAGCAUCCUGUUAAGUCAGGCAACGAGCGAGACCCACGCCAACAGUUGCU